AGUGAACGCUGGCGGCAGGCCUAACGCAUGCGAGUCGAACGGCAGCACAAGAGAGCUUGCUCUCUGGGUGGCGAGUGGCGGACGGGUGAGGCAUGCAUCGGAAUCUGCCCAUUUGUGGGGGAUAACCUCGGGAAACCGGGACUAAUACCGCAUACGACCUACGGGUGAAAGCAGGGGAUCUUCGGACCUUGCGCAGAUGGAUGAGCCGAUGCCGGAUUAGCUAGUUGGAGGGGUAAAGGCCCACCAAGGCGACGAUCCGUAGCUGGUCUGAGAGGAUGAUCAGCCACACUGGGACUGAGACACGGCCCAGACUCCUACGGGAGGCAGCAGUGGGGAAUAUUGGACAAUGGGCGCAAGCCUGAUCCAGCCAUGCCGCGUGUGUGAAGAAGGCCUUCGGGUUGUAAAGCACUUUUGUUGGGAAAGAAAAGCAGCCGGUUAAUACCCGGUUGUCAUGACGGUACCCAAAGAAUAAGCACCGGCUAACUUCGUG
Molecule: ribosomal RNA, 490 nt
Filed under: uncultured bacterium
Lineage: Bacteria
Description: partial 16S ribosomal RNA
Rfam family: Bacterial small subunit ribosomal RNA
Source: RNAcentral